RNAcentral lists this transfer RNA (70 nucleotides) under Streptomyces phaeofaciens. RNAcentral describes it as "tRNA-Arg". The record is from RNAcentral. RNAcentral also lists the same sequence under 1 other name. Lineage: Bacteria; Bacillati; Actinomycetota; Actinomycetes; Kitasatosporales; Streptomycetaceae.
GCCUCCCGAGGUGUCGGGGCGGGCGGCCUCCGGAGCCGUGUGCGCAGGUUCGAAUCCUGCCGGGGGCACC